CUCAGGAUGAACACUGGCGGCGUGCUAAUACAUGCAAGUCGAGCGAACGGACGAGAAGCUUGCUUCUCUGAUGUUAGCGGCGGACGGGUGAGUAACACGUGGAUAACCUACCUAUAAGACUGGGAUAACUUCGGGAAACCGGAGCUAAUACCGGAUAAUAUUUUGAACCGCAUGGUUCAAAAGUGAAAGACGGUCUUGCUGUCACUUAUAGAUGGAUCCGCGCUGCAUUAGCUAGUUGGUAAGGUAACGGCUUACCAAGGCAACGAUGCAUAGCCGACCUGAGAGGGUGAUCGGCCACACUGGAACUGUGACACGGUCCAGACUCCUACGGGAGGCAGCAGUAGGGAAUCUUCCGCAAUGGGCGAAAGCCUGACGGAGCAACGCCGCGUGAGUGAUGAAGGUCUUCGGAUCGUAAAACUCUGUUAUUAGGGAAGAACAUAUGUGUAAGUAACUGUGCACAUCUUGACGGUACCUAAUCAGAAAGCCACGGCUAACUACGUGCCAGCAGCCGCGGUAAUACGUAGGUGGCAAGCGUUAUCCGGAAUUAUUGGGCGUAAAGCGCGCGUAGGCGGUUUUUUAAGUCUGACGUGAAAGCCCACGGCUCAACCGUGGAGGGUCAUUGGAAACUGGAAAACUUGAGUGCAGAAGAGGAAAGUGGAAUUCCAUGUGUAGCGGUGAAAUGCGCAGAGAUAUGGAGGAACACCAGUGGCGAAGGCGACUUUCUGGUCUGUAACUGACGCUGAUGUGCGAAAGCGUGGGGAUCAAACAGGAUUAGAUACCCUGGUAGUCCACGCCGUAAACGAUGAGUGCUAAGUGUUAGGGGGUUUCCGCCCCUUAGUGCUGCAGCUAACGCAUUAAGCACUUCCGCCUGGGGAGUACGACCGCAAGGU
This 890-nucleotide ribosomal RNA is filed under the name uncultured Staphylococcus sp. RNAcentral describes it as "bacterial SSU rRNA". It matches the Rfam family "Bacterial small subunit ribosomal RNA", at positions 23 to 894 of the family's 1533-position model. Lineage: Bacteria; Bacillati; Bacillota; Bacilli; Caryophanales; Staphylococcaceae. The record is from RNAcentral.